RNAcentral lists this ribosomal RNA (302 nucleotides) under Halicephalobus sp. RGD696. RNAcentral's name for it is "eukaryotic LSU rRNA". It matches the Rfam family "Eukaryotic large subunit ribosomal RNA", at positions 666 to 944 of the family's 3401-position model. Lineage: Eukaryota; Metazoa; Nematoda; Chromadorea; Rhabditida; Panagrolaimidae. The record is from RNAcentral.
CCAAGAAGUUUAUUGUAUACGCGAGUCAUUAAGUGUUAAAACUUAUUGGCAUAAUGAAAGUAAAGGUUCACUUGUUGAGCUGAUGUAUGAUAAAGUGUUUACGGACAUUUUAGCAGUACAGUCCUAUUCUUAUGGCUUGCCAUGGAGUGGAGAUAGAGCGUAUGCAAUGAGACCCGAAAGAUGGUGAUCUAUGCUUGAGCAGGAUGAAGCCGGAGGAAACUCUGGUGGAAGUCCGUAACGGUUCUGACGUGCAAAUCGAUCGUCUGACUUGAGUAUAGGGGCGAAAGACUAAUCGAACCAUC